AACCUGCCCUUGUCCACGGGGAUAAACCCCGGGUGAAAAACCGGCCUAAUACCGUAUGAGGUCACAAGCGGACAUCCAACUGUGACGAAAGGUUUAGCGGACAAGGAUGGGGAUGCGUCCGAUUAGCUUGACGCGGGGUAACGGCCCACCGUGGCGACGAUCGGUAGGGGUUCUGAGAGGAAGGUCCCCCACAUUGGAACUGAGACACGGUCCAAACUCCUACGGGAGGCAGCAGUGAGGAAUAUUGGUCAAUGGGCGAGAGCCUGAACCAGCCAAGUAGCGUGCAGGAUGACGGCCCUAUGGGUUGUAAACUGCUUUUGUGCGGGGAUAAAGUGUGGGACGUGUCCCAUAUUGCAGGUACCGCAUGAAUAAGGACCGGCUAAUUCCGUG
RNAcentral lists this ribosomal RNA (390 nucleotides) under uncultured bacterium. RNAcentral's name for it is "bacterial SSU rRNA". It matches the Rfam family "Bacterial small subunit ribosomal RNA", at positions 123 to 507 of the family's 1533-position model. The record is from RNAcentral.